UACGGAGGGUGCAAGCGUUGCUCGGAAUUAUUGGGCGUAAAGGGUAGGUAGGUGGUCUCGUUUGUCCGGGGUGAAAGCCCGGAGCUUAACUGGGGAACUGCGUCCGAUACUGGAUGGCUUGGAUUUGGGAGAGGGAUGCGGAAUUCCAGGUGUAGCGGUGAAAUGCGUAGAUAUCGGGAGGAACACCAGUGGCGAAGGCGACUUCCUGGCCUGUUCUUGACGCUGAGGCGCGAAAGCUAGGGUAGCAAACGGG
This 253-nucleotide ribosomal RNA is filed under the name uncultured bacterium. Its description in RNAcentral is "partial 16S ribosomal RNA". It matches the Rfam family "Bacterial small subunit ribosomal RNA", at positions 524 to 776 of the family's 1533-position model. The record is from RNAcentral.